RNAcentral lists this long non-coding RNA (4376 nucleotides) under Homo sapiens (human). RNAcentral describes it as "HSALNT0338404". Lineage: Eukaryota; Metazoa; Chordata; Mammalia; Primates; Hominidae. The record is from RNAcentral.
UAUCUUUGACCUAAUCGUGGGUGGAAGUAUUUAAAACACUUUCUUAAAGACAGGCCCAAGCACCUACUGUCUAUGGCACCAUAGAGAGUUCUUUCAUGCUGAGGACUGCAAAGGUGACAAUAGUUUCCUCUAACGUGUUUCAGUGGAUUUGAAAGCACUGGGAACAAAUUAAAAAAAAAAUGUGUGUGUAUUAUGUUCCUGUGAAAUAAGAGACAGCUGAAUUCAGGAGAAAGUAGGGGCAUUGGAAAAAUGACUCUCUAGCUGUGUGCCCCAAAUGCACCUCAGCGUAUAGAAGACAACUGGUGUCCUAAGGUAGGAAUACUGACUUCUCUCUUCCUCUGUAAGCUCAGAAGUUCCAUCUUAGGGCAGACAUAAAAGGUACCUCUAUAGGCUCUUCCUUGCUAUUUUCCAGUAAAUAAAUGAAGCAAAUCAAAUUUUAAUGAAAAGCAACUUGGCCUGUGGAAACAACAAACCAGCUAUAUAUUUAACAAUGAAUUGAAAUUUUAUAAAAUUGGCUGCAAUGAUAAUUCAUAAAAUAUAAUGACUAAUGUGAAAACAAAGGAUGCAACACUGACUGUCUACUAUGGACUAUGCACUGUUCUAAGAGUUUAUUCAUAUGGACUACGCACUGUUCUAAGACUUUAUUCACAUAUCUCAUUUUGUCCUGACAAUAAUCCUGGGGAAUAAGUAUUGUUUCCGUUUAUCUGUUGAGGGAACUAAGGCUCAAGAACAUAAGCUGACUUCCCCAAGGUCAGAAUGUUGGAAAGUAAUAGAUCAGGUUGUAAAAUGCAUGUCUGCUUGAUUUUAAGUUUUGAAUCCUACUACACACACAUUGAGAACUCAAAAAGUAGGGAAAGAAUGAUUUGGAAGGGUGGAGGGCCUAGUGUCAUAGCUGAAGGAGAGCUGCAUCUACUGCAGAGCAGGCGCUUUUGGAAAUGAUACCUUUAAGGUCAAAUAAAACUGGAAAAUUGUCCUGUAGUCUGUGCCAAGGAAUAUUUCAAAUAUAUAAACACAGGACAUGAAACCACCUAGGAUGUAGGGUCCAUUAAUUCUUAAUCUGUACCUAGCAUCUAGGAGUGAUUAAUGCUUAUGUGUGGAACGAACAAAUGUCCAUGUCAGUUAUAAAUUUUAUAACCUUAUAACCAAAAGAAGAAAAAAAAAGACUGAACUCGGCUGAAAUUAGUUAUCUAUAAACUUGUAGACUUGGAGAAGUAUUAAACUUUUAUUUUCAUGUAACCCCAAAAAUAAUUCAGUUUAAGAAUUGUUAUUCAUUAGUAUCUAAGAGUAUUCAAAUUCAAGAUGAGGGAAAAGGAUGUGUGUGUGUGUGUGUGUGUGUGUGUGUGUGUUUCUGUGUGUGAUCAUGUCACCACUAACAGGAGAUAGUUGAAUUUUAGGAGAUAACUUUGUGACUCAAUGCACUGGUAUAAGAUGUAUUUUUGAUAUUUCUUAGAAAACUUUUCUUGGGAAUAUACAAUACUCUUAAGGCAAUAGUUCAUCAUCUAUAAUUACAAAUUUAAUUUACAUAAUUCUCCUUGGAAGUAUGUCCCAAGUGUUAAACUUUCUGUUAAUCGAUUCCAAACUCUUUCAUGAACCCUAUCCUUGCUCUACCAUCUAUAUUACUUUAUCGAUGAAGUUUUGGGUUUUUUUCCUAAACUUUCCCCCUUCAUUUCUGACAAAAUUAACCUCACCGUCUUUGAUGGUUAAUUCUAAGUGUCAACUUGACUGGGUUAGAGGAUGCUCGGAUAGCAGGUAGAGCAUGAUUUCUGGGUGUUUCAGUGAGGGUAUUUCUGGGAGACUGGUACUGGAAUCAGUGCACUGAGUAGGGAAGACCUGCCCUUAUCCAAUGCAGUAGGGCACCAUGCAACUGGCUGAGGACCCAGACAGAACAGAAAGGCAAAGGGAAGGCAAAGUGUCUCUCUGUUCUAAAGCUGGGACACCUACCCUGUCCUUGAACAUCAGAUCUCCAGGAUCUCUGGCCUUUGGAGUUUAACUUGCACCAGCUGCACCCCAGCUUCUCAAGCCUUUGGCCUCUGACUCAGGGUUACACCAUCAGCUUCCCUGGUUGUGAGGCUUUCAGACUUGGACUGAGCUAUGCUACUGGCUUUCCUGGUUCUCCAGCUUGCAGAUGGCCUAUUGGGGGACUUUUUAGCUUCCAUAAUCAUAUGAACCAAUUUCCCUCCUAAGUCCUCGCUCGUGUAUCUAUUCAUCUAUAUAUGUAUCCUGUUGGUUCUGUUUCUCUGGAGAACCCUAAUGCACCCUAAUCCAUAUUUUAUAUAUAAAAUGUAAAAACACUUCGUAGUAAUUGUCUUCCCUGUAGGCAACCUUAGGACCUUAGGGAAGAACGAUGUCAGAGAGAAGCCAGCACACUUAGCGAGCACGGGGACCAGUCUGCAUGCAUUCAAACCCUGGCUCUAUCACAUACUUGCUAUGUGCCCUUGGGGAAAUUAUUUAAAUUCUAUACAUCCAUUUUUUUUCUUAUAAAACGUGGAGAUAAUAAUAACCACACUCAUGGUAUUGUUGGGAGAACAUACAAAAAGAGAUUUCGUAUGUAAAGUGUCUAGAACAAUUCCUGUCACACAAUAAAGCCUUAUAUCAAAUAAGAGUUGUUCUUAUCAUAGUCAUCUUUAUAUCCACCAUCUGGUAUAAAAAAGAUAGGCAAUACUUGGUGGUUGAAUUCUGGAACGAAUAAAGGUUCAACCACUUAUUCAAUUUGUCCCUAACCAACUAAUUUCAUUUUAAUAGCAAAUUUUGUUCAUGCCCCUUUCAUGUUAAAUGUCUUUCUAUCCAAAAUGUACAGAGCUAAUCUGUUUUAAAAGAUUUAUUUUUCUAAGCAAAAGAUGUAACUGAUACUACUGUCCUAUUAGCUUUUCUAAGGCAUAUUAAAUGGUUUCUUUAAAAUCACAGUAUAAAUGAGUAAAUUAAUUGACUUGGAUUUAAAAGAUGUUUUCUGUUGAUAGUACUUCCCAGUAUGUUAGCUCAAUAAAUGAAAGAGAGAUGCUGCCAAUCAGAGACGUUCCCCUUUAAUUAAAUAAAAGGAAUGUAUUCAAGUAUUUCUAAAGAUGAAAUAAAGGAAAAUAAAAACAUAAUAAGCAUUAACAUGGCCUAUGUGCCCUGCUUCUUAGAUAGGCUCUUAAUCAAACAAGACCACAAUAAAAUAUGCCAUUACAUUAUCAUGUUCAGUAUUAGAAACAAGAAUUUUCAUGUACAAAACAUGCUUCUAUUACGGACACAAUAAUUUGUUCAACAGCAGAAAUACUCUGAAUUCCCCAAGAUCAACACAAUUAAAAUGACAAUAACGGUCAACAAUUAAAAAGCACUUCAUGCUGCACAAAGAUUUUUCAUAUUUAUGAUCUUGAUCAUUACUAAUGUAUGUUCUCUAGAAAGUAGAACAUUCAGGAAAAGGUAGGGAACCCGCAGAUGUGAUUGUUUGGGACAACGCAUAAUACAAGGUGUUUUUCCUAAUUUUCAUAUGAUGCUUGGGAAAAAAAUGCUCAAAACAGCAAAGCAAAAUUGCUCAAGAACAACCGCAAGCAUCUCGGUGCCACAGUGAUGACCAGAAUUUGGGUCUUGGUCAUUGGCAGUAGUUCGUGGCAUCAACCUUUUCAAGUGGGUAAGGUUCUAGGGAUCCCACUAUAAAGAAACGCGAUGCUAUCUUAUUGAAACCAGCAUACAUUUGGAGCUAUUUUCUUUUAUUUUUUUAUUUACAUGGAUGCUUUCUUCAACAAGGCAAAAAAUAUCAUUGUAAAGAAGACAUGUGAACUGGUCUUUCUGAAUUGGAACAAAGUUUUGAAAUAAACCCAGCCACCAGUCUUCAUCAGACUGGAAGGCCAGGGAGAAGAGGGAAGAAGGAAUCAUUAUGAAGCUGUGGACUCAAAUCUCUUAUUCCUUUUGAGUUGGAAAAACUUCAAAAAUAAUAUAAUUUUUAUGAGCUUUAGUAAGGAGAAAAAUAUACUGCAGUUAAAAAAUGGGGCAGGGCGCGGUGGCUCACACCUAUAAUCCCAGCACUUUGGGAGGCCGAGGCGGGCGGAUCACGAGUGUCUUCAUAAGAAGAGUCUAGGACACAGGCAUGUACACAGAGACAGCAGAAACCAUGUGAGGACACAGGGAGAAGGCGGCCAUCUGCAAACCAAGGAAAACAGGCUUCAGGAGAAACACACCUUGAUCUUGGACUUCCAGCCUCCAAAACUUGAACACGGUACAACUUUCACGAGGACUGAGUUAACACCGAGAAUGCAUGUGACAUGGACAACCUGGUGCCUCACUUUUUGUCACAAACAGAACUUUCCUGAGAAGGCACUGCCACUGAUUUUGUUGACCAUCUGCACCACACCUAUCACGCUGCCUCGGCUGACGAUGGGCAUGCACAGGAUGUUCCG